UGGUUGACCUCGGAUCAGGUAGGGAUACCCGCUGAACUUAAGCAUAUCAA
RNAcentral lists this ribosomal RNA (50 nucleotides) under Oidiodendron truncatum. RNAcentral describes it as "partial 28S ribosomal RNA". Lineage: Eukaryota; Fungi; Ascomycota; Leotiomycetes; Myxotrichaceae. The record is from RNAcentral.